GACGAACGCUGGCGGCGUGCCUAAUACAUGCAAGUAGAACGCUGAAGAGAGGAGCUUACUCUUCUUGGAUGAGUUGCGAACGGGUGAGUAACGCGUAGGUAACCUGCCUUGUAGCGGGGGAAAACUAUUGGAAAGGGUCGCAAAUCCGGCAUAACAUUGGUUUACACAUUUCCUUUUUUUAAAAGGGGCAAUUGUUCCACUACAAGAUGGCCUUUCGUCGUAUUGGCUAGUAGGUGGGGUACUGGCUCACCUAGGCGACGAUACAGAGCCGACCGGAUAGGGUGAUCGGCCACACUGGGACUGAGACACGGCCCAGACGCCUACGGGAGGCAGCAGUAGGGAAUCUUCAGCAAUGGGGGCAACCCUGACCGAGCAACGCCGCGUGAGUGAAGAAGGUUUUCGGAUCGUAAAGCUCUGUUGUAAGUCAAGAACGGGUGUGAGAGUGGAAAGUUCACAGUGUGACGGUAGCUUACCAGAAAGGGACGGCUAACUACGUG
This 497-nucleotide ribosomal RNA is filed under the name uncultured bacterium. RNAcentral's name for it is "partial 16S ribosomal RNA". It matches the Rfam family "Bacterial small subunit ribosomal RNA", at positions 28 to 507 of the family's 1533-position model. The record is from RNAcentral.